RNAcentral lists this ribosomal RNA (492 nucleotides) under uncultured bacterium. Its description in RNAcentral is "partial 16S ribosomal RNA". It matches the Rfam family "Bacterial small subunit ribosomal RNA", at positions 29 to 507 of the family's 1533-position model. The record is from RNAcentral.
AGUGAACGCUGGCGGUAGGCCUAACACAUGCAAGUCGAACGGCAGCACAGUAAGAGCUUGCUCUUACGGGUGGCGAGUGGCGGACGGGUGAGGAAUACAUCGGAAUCUACUUUUUCGUGGGGGAUAACGUAGGGAAACUUACGCUAAUACCGCAUACGACCUACGGGUGAAAGCAGGGGAUCUUCGGACCUUGCGCGAUUGAAUGAGCCGAUGUCGGAUUAGCUAGUUGGCGGGGUAAAGGCCCACCAAGGCGACGAUCCGUAGCUGGUCUGAGAGGAUGAACAGCCACACUGGAAAUGGAGCACGGUCCCAACUCCUUCGGGAGGCAGCAGUGGGGAAUAUUGGACAAUGGGCGCAAGCCUGAUCCAGCCAUACCGCGUGGGUGAAGAAGGCCUUCGGGUUGUAAAGCCCUUUUGUUGGGAAAGAAAAGCAGCAGGUUAAUACCCCGCUGUUCUGACGGUACCCAAAGAAUAAGCACCGGCUAACUUCGUG